CAUGACUCAUGAGUGUUGUCACAUCUCUGUAAUUUGGGUUUAUGAUGAUACUCUAUACUAUUUAUUGUAGCUUUAUUAGAUCUCAACCUGUGGAAGUAAUCUAAUACAAACGACACUUGUAUGGAAUUUUCAGGACAUGUUUCUAAGAUCACAGAGGAUACGAUACUCUCUAGGUUUGAGGACUAGCUCCAGUUACGCUUUUGGGUCCAGUGAAUGUAUGAUACCCAUUAUGUGGUCCAAAAAGAAUGAGAUUUGACGGACGCUCUAGUGGCCAAAUUCAUAUGGCUACCUUCACUCUAUGCCUUAAGAGCUGAAAAGUUUCCGUGGUUUCGAAUACUUUGCUUCUUUCAGAUUAACGAAAACCCUAUUUAGUUGCAAAGACUGAGAAGAGAAUAAGAGUCGAGGGACCAUAUAAAGCUUGUAAUUGUACGUUUAUGCGGAUUCUCCACUUUCCAUGGCUGUGAGAAACUAUCUGAGGAAAAGUGCAGUGACCUUUGGCAAAAGAUCACUGAAUAAAUUUUCUGGUGGUCUGAGAACUCGCUGCAGUGAAUGAAUGAGAUCCAUGUAAGUGGCCCCAAAAGAACAUAAUUUACAACACUCUGGUAGGUAAAUUCAUGUGGAUACUAAAACUGACUCAUUUAUGGCUAAAAAGUAUUGAUUUGGUACAUGAAUUCAUCAGCUUAACCGUUGAAGUGGGAAGCUAUCCUAGUGGUAAAUAAGUUGAUCUCUGGCCCUUUCCAGGUGGCAAAAAGUGAAGGCUUUACAGUGUCACCCUUUUUCUUUUGGUUGCGUCGUUAUUCUUUAGUGCCAGUAUAUACCUUGGAAAAAGUGAGCUAUUAUUCUAAAAGAUAGACCAAGAAAUAGAUUUCUCACACUGAAUAUCUUUGUUCAUUUGGAUGGUCCAUAGGCAUUGACAUAUUCUGCUAGUAGUGGUUGUGAGUGAUAGAAUCUUGUUAUCCGAGACAACCUCGUGGGAAUGGAUUUAGCACCAAUGCUAAUCACUAAUCAGUACAAGAAUAUGCGUUGAUGUAAUUGUACCUAUUAGCAUUGUUCACUCAGGAUUCUUGGUUAUUUGUUACCUGACUAUUCAGUGUGUGAUUUUAUUGGAGUUUUACAUGUUUACACUUGUCUCUGUAAUCUACUUUUGGUAUAAAAUCAUAUUGAGUACAACUUUCUUUUCUCAGGGAUGUGCGAAAUUGUCUUUGGGGCGGCAUAAGUGGAAUCAUUUAUCUUCUACGUGAUAAAGUGAUGUGGAAAGUGUCACCAAGAAAGGAAUCAUUAACUUUGAACUUAGGCAAGGUGAGUUACGUGUUGACUGUUCUUGGUACAGCUAGCUAUACUAAUGCAUAUCUCUUUGUAGCAUCAGUUUGAAUUUAGACUGUAGGGCAGUAUUUCAUAGAUAAGAGGACUUCUACCAAGUGGGCAAAAUUUGUAUUAACUUACAGCAGCUAAGUAUGAGUGUAUAUCUAAUUAACUCGUACUAGUUAGGCAAAACUAGUAAACUACAGACCCUAUAUGCAUAAAACCGUGGUAAUAACUUGCAGGAAUUUCAAACCAGAAGUAAUUUACAAGCAUGCAGUCUAGUUUUGCCAUAGCAGCAUCAGAAUGAUGGAACAAUUCCAUAUCCGGUGUCAAAUGUUAUCAUUGUGGAGAAAGCUUGGUUUGCCUCUUCAUCGACAUCUUUCUUCUUUGCAAACCGGCCCUUGAUCCGUGGUCUUUUCUCUGCAUACGCUUUCCUUGAAGCAUAUCUUAUCGUCUUCUCAAAUUUCCUCAUCUUCUUCUUCUCUCUGUAUCUCAGGACUCUAGCUUCUCUGUCCCUUGGACUGAGCAUCUGAGCUGGAGGGUAAGGUGGUUGGUCUGUUACCGCUUUGGGCGAUCUUGGGUUUGAUACUGUUGCGUCACUCGUUGUUGACUCCGGCACAACUCCCAGGUCCAUAGAUGAAACAUUCACCUAAUGACAGUAACAAAGACAUUCUUAGAAAUUUACUUCAUGGAUUUGUGUGAAAGAAGCAGCAUGCUGGUCAUAGUAACGGAUCUGAAUUAAAUAUAUGAAAGCUUACCAUAUGACUGAGGGAACCAUUGGAGCUUCGAAGAGCUCCCCAGGAGCCACAGUUGAUACUCAGCUGAAAGUUCUGUUGCUCUUGGUACAUGCCCUUUGAUACUUCAAUUUGAAGUGGAACAACUCCAUCUUCCCCAUAGCUCCUCUGAGGUACGUUGCAGUCUAGUUGAUACUGAUUGGAUUGAUCUGUGAAUUGCUUAUCACUCGAACUAUAAUCAACAAGGUUCAGAAACUCAUCCCCAAUCGAGAAGCCAUUGUUGUUACCACUGUUUUUCCCUGAAUUAGGCAACAACCAUGAAGCCGCCUCUGCUUCAUCUUCAUCCUCUUCUUCUUGACCAAGCACAAGUCUGUUCUCUGGAUCUGUCACUGUUGUCUCACAUGAAUGGUUAGUGGCCGUGGAACUGUAAGAGUACUCAGAAAUGGGCAGAAUUGGAACUCGUUGAUGGCGUCUAGCAAGUGGGUUUGCGGAAUGAAUCUCUGAAUCACAGGUUGUGCAUAGAGAUGCAGCAUCUGCCUUGCAGAAAAAGGCAGCCGGGGCUCGCUCACAUGAUUGACAGACUCGAACACGUUCAUGGCGGGAAGCAAGACGAUUGGCAGCAUGAACUUGAGCAUCACAACUGGAGCACAAGUAGGCAGAAUCAGCCCGGCAGUACACGGUGCAGGCGGCUGAUCGGCAUGUAUCACAGGCUUGUGCCCAGUUACUCUCUACUUUCAACAUACUAACCGCAGAUGUUGUAGUUGUUUGAUGGUGAGUGAGAUCGUAUGUAAAGGCAGCAGGGGACUAAGAAGGCUAUAUUAGUUGUUGAAUGGAAAUGGAAAGGAAGGAUAGAAUUCUGAGGGCUGGACACGUGGCGAGAAGUUUGUGGGUUUGAUGUUGAGUGAUCAUCUUGUGGCUGGCUGAGUUUUUGAGAAGGGGUCCAGUGCAGAGAUGCUUACAGCUUUGGAAUCAUCAACCAGCACGAAAUGUGAAAGAAAGAAAAAAACUAAUUGUCUUCUUAUAUCUUUGCAAUGGCACCAAUAGUUACUACUUUUUCUCUCUUUCUUCCUCAAUAAGUGUAAACACCUCUUCCUAUGUAAUCUUCUAUAGGACCCAUCCACAUGUUACCUAGGUUCUGAAACGUGCAACUUCUAACUAUUUUUGUAUCAUCUACUACUAUUUUGGUAAAG
This is a long non-coding RNA of Arabidopsis thaliana (thale cress), 3226 nucleotides long. RefSeq annotates it as other RNA. The transcript has 4 exons. NCBI's taxonomy places the organism in Eukaryota, Viridiplantae, Streptophyta, Magnoliopsida, Brassicales, Brassicaceae. The record is from RefSeq.